GUAGGUGAACCUGCGGAAGGAUCAUUACCAAAAGGAACCCUUCGGGGUUAAUCCUCAACCCUUUGUUUAAUUACCAUGCUUCUUUGGCGGGCUUGCCCGUCAGAAGAUUUCUCAAACCCUUUAAACGUGUCAUCUGAAUCAAAUAUUAAAUAUAAUAAAACUUUCAACAACGGAUCUCUUGGUUCUGGCAUCGAUGAAGAACGCAGCAUCUGACUGACUACGUGGU
Molecule: unclassified non-coding RNA, 226 nt
Filed under: plant metagenome
Description: partial contains small subunit ribosomal RNA, internal transcribed spacer 1, and 5.8S ribosomal RNA
Source: RNAcentral